UCGGGAAUUUUGGGCAAUGGGCGAAAGCCUGACCCAGCAACGCCGCGUGAGUGAAGAAGGCCUUCGGGUUGUAAAGCUCUUUUACCAGGGACGAUAAUGACGGUACCUGGAGAAUAAGCCCCGGCAAACUUCGUGCCAGCAGCCGCGGUAAUACGAAGGGGGCUAGCGUUGUUCGGAAUUACUGGGCGUAAAGCGCACGUAGGCGGAUUGUUAAGUCAGAGGUGAAAUCCCGGAGCUCAACUUCGGAACUGCCUUUGUGACUGUAUAGCUAGAGUACGGUAGAGGGGGAUGGAAUUCCACAAGUAGCGGUGAAAUGCGUAGAUAUGUGGAAGAACACCGGUGGCGAAGGCGGUUUUCUAGCUUAGACCUGACGCUGAGGCGCGAAAGCAAGGGGGAUCAAACAGGAUUAGAUACCCUUGUAGUCCCUGAGCGGGCUGGCAAGGCGCAU
This 448-nucleotide ribosomal RNA is filed under the name uncultured bacterium. RNAcentral's name for it is "bacterial SSU rRNA". It matches the Rfam family "Bacterial small subunit ribosomal RNA", at positions 355 to 825 of the family's 1533-position model. The record is from RNAcentral.